GGUUAAGUGACUAAGCGUACACGGUGGAUGCCUGGGCAGUCAGAGGCGAUGAAGGACGUACUAACUUGCGAUAAGCGCAGAUAAGGCAGUAAGAGCCGUUUGAGUCUGCGAUUUCCGAAUGGGGAAACCCAACUGCAUAAGCAGUUACUGUUAACUGAAUACAUAGGUUAACAGAGCAAACCGGGGGAACUGAAACAUCUAAGUACCCCGAGGAGAAGAAAUCAACCGAGAUUCCGGUAGUAGCGGCGAGCGAACCUGGAUUAGCCCUUAAGCACUCGGUGAAGUAGGUGAACAAGCUGGAAAGCUUGGCGAUACAGGGUGAUAGCCCCGUAACCGACGCUUCAUCGAGCGUGAAAUCGAGUAGGGCGGGACACGUGAUAUCCUGUCUGAAUAUGGGGGGACCAUCCUCCAAGGCUAAAUACUCCUGACUGACCGAUAGUGAACCAGUACCGUGAGGGAAAGGCGAAAAGAACCCCUGUGAGGGGAGUGAAAUAGAACCUGAAACCGUGUACGUACAAGCAGUAGGAGCACCUUCGUGGUGUGACUGCGUACCUUUUGUAUAAUGGGUCAGCGACUUAUAUUCAGUGGCAAGGUUAACCGUAUAGGGGAGCCGUAGCGAAAGCGAGUCUUAACUGGGCGCUCAGUCUCUGGAUAUAGACCCGAAACCGGGUGAUCUAGCCAUGGGCAGGUUGAAGGUUGAGUAACAUCAACUGGAGGACCGAACCGACUAAUGUUGAAAAAUUAGCGGAUGACUUGUGGCUAGGGGUGAAAGGCCAAUCAAACUCGGAGAUAGCUGGUUCUCCCCGAAAGCUAUUUAGGUAGCGCCUCGGACGAAUACUACUGGGGGUAGAGCACUGUUAAGGCUAGGGGGUCAUCCCGACUUACCAACCCUUUGCAAACUCCGAAUACCAGUAAGUACUAUCCGGGAGACACACGGCGGGUGCUAACGUCCGUCGUGGAGAGGGAAACAACCCAGACCGCCAGCUAAGGUCCCAAAGUAUUGCUAAGUGGGAAACGAUGUGGGAAGGCUCAGACAGCUAGGAUGUUGGCUUAGAAGCAGCCAUCAUUUAAAGAAAGCGUAAUAGCUCACUAGUCGAGUCGGCCUGCGCGGAAGAUGUAACGGGGCUAAGCAAUACACCGAAGCUGCGGCAAUAUCUUUUAGAUAUUGGGUAGGGGAGCGUUCUGUAAGCCGUUGAAGGUGAAUCGUAAGGUUUGCUGGAGGUAUCAGAAGUGCGAAUGCUGACAUGAGUAACGACAAAGGGGGUGAAAAACCUCCUCGCCGGAAGACCAAGGGUUCCUGUCCAACGUUAAUCGGGGCAGGGUGAGUCGACCCCUAAGGUGAGGCCGAAAGGCGUAAUCGAUGGGAAACGGGUUAAUAUUCCCGUACUUCUGACUAUUGCGAUGGGGGGACGGAGAAGGCUAGGUGGGCCAGGCGACGGUUGUCCUGGUUCAAG
Molecule: ribosomal RNA, 1454 nt
Filed under: Vibrio cholerae
Lineage: Bacteria; Pseudomonadati; Pseudomonadota; Gammaproteobacteria; Vibrionales; Vibrionaceae
Description: partial 23S ribosomal RNA
Rfam family: Bacterial large subunit ribosomal RNA
Source: RNAcentral